This 538-nucleotide ribosomal RNA is filed under the name Colletotrichum truncatum. RNAcentral describes it as "eukaryotic LSU rRNA". The stretch from base 198 to 351 matches the Rfam family "5.8S ribosomal RNA". Lineage: Eukaryota; Fungi; Ascomycota; Sordariomycetes; Glomerellales; Glomerellaceae. The record is from RNAcentral.
ACCUGCGGAGGGAUCAUUACUGAGUUACCGCUCAUCAACCCUUUGUGAACAUACCUUAACUGUUGCUUCGGCGGGUAGGCGUCCCCUAAAAAGGACGUCUCCCGGCCCUCUCCCGUCCGCGGGUGGGGCGCCCGCCGGAGGAUAACCAAACUCUGAUUUAACGACGUUUCUUCUGAGUGACACAAGCAAAUAAUCAAAACUUUUAACAACGGAUCUCUUGGUUCUGGCAUCGAUGAAGAACGCAGCGAAAUGCGAUAAGUAAUGUGAAUUGCAGAAUUCAGUGAAUCAUCGAAUCUUUGAACGCACAUUGCGCCCGCCAGCAUUCUGGCGGGCAUGCCUGUUCGAGCGUCAUUUCAACCCUCAAGCUCUGCUUGGUGUUGGGGCUCUACGGUUGACGUAGGCCCUUAAAGGUAGUGGCGGACCCUCUCGGAGCCUCCUUUGCGUAGUAACAUUUCGUCUCGCAUUGGGAUUCGGAGGGACUCUAGCCGUAAAACCCCCAAUUUUACUAAGGUUGACCUCGGAUCAGGUAGGAAUACCC